RNAcentral lists this non-coding RNA (25 nucleotides) under Cricetulus griseus (Chinese hamster). The record is from RNAcentral. Lineage: Eukaryota; Metazoa; Chordata; Mammalia; Rodentia; Cricetidae.
UUUCGGGAAAAUGUUAAGAAAAAUU